Molecule: ribosomal RNA, 848 nt
Filed under: uncultured bacterium
Lineage: Bacteria
Description: bacterial SSU rRNA
Rfam family: Bacterial small subunit ribosomal RNA
Source: RNAcentral
UUGGAAGUUUGAUUCUGGGUUCAGGAUGAACCGCGGGCGGCGCGCCCUAACACCAUGCAAGUCGAACGGCCCCCCCCCUCCGGGGGGGAGCGAGUGGCGAAACGCUUGAGUAACACGUGGAGAACCUGCCCCCUCCUCCGGAAUAGCCGCGGGAAACCGCGGGUAAUGCCCGACGACCCGGGGACCGCGCAUGCGCCCCCCGGCAAAGCCCAGGCGGGAGGGGAUGGCUCCGCGGCCCAUCAGGUAGACGGCGGGGUGACGGCCCACCGUGCCGACAACGGGUAGCCGGGUUGAGAGACCGACCGGCCAGAUUGGGACUGAGACACGGCCCAGACUCCUACGGGAGGCAGCAGUGGGGAAUCUUGCGCAAUGGGGGCAACCCUGACGCAGCGACGCCGCGUGCGGGACGGAGGCCUUCGGGUCGUAAACCGCUUUCAGCAGGGAAGAGACAAGACUGUACCUGCAGAAGAAGCACCGGCUAACUACGUGCCAGCAGCCGCGGUAAUACGUAGGGUGCGAGCGUUGUCCGGAAUUACUGGGCGUAAAGAGCUCGUGGGUGGUUUGUCGCGUCGUCUGUGAAAUUCCGGGGCUUAACUCCGGGCGUGCAGGCGAUACGGGCAUAACUUGAGUACUGUAGGGGAGACUGGAAUUCCUGGUGUAGCGGUGAAAUGCGCAGAUAUCAGGAGGAACACCGGUGGCGAAGGCGGGUCUCUGGGCAGUAACUGACGCUGAGGAGCGAAAGCAUGGGUAGCGAACAGGAUUAGAUACCCUGGUAGUCCAUGCCGUAAACGGUGGGCGCUAGGUGUAGGGGUCUUCCACGACUUCUGUGCCGUAGCUAACGCAUNAAG